Molecule: ribosomal RNA, 2021 nt
Filed under: human gut metagenome
Description: bacterial LSU rRNA
Rfam family: Bacterial large subunit ribosomal RNA
Source: RNAcentral
AUUCCAAUCGAACGCGGAGAUAGCUGGUUCUCCCCGAAAUAGCUUUAGGGCUAGCCUGAGGUAGUAAGUAUAGGCGGUAGAGCACUGAUCGGGCUAGGGGCCGUAAAGGUUACCGAACCCUGUCAAACUCCGAAUGGAUAUACUGUAGAGCCUUGGAGUCAGACUACGAGUGAUAAGAUCCGUGGUCAAAAGGGAAACAGCCCAGACCACCAGCUAAGGUCCCCAAUGUCGUACUAAGUGGAAAAGGAUGUGGGGUUUCAUAAACAACCAGGAUGUUGGCUCAGAAGCAGCCACCAUUUAAAGAGUGCGUAAUAGCUCACUGGUCGAGAGACCCUGCGCCGAAGAUUCCCGGGGCUAAAGUACGAAACCGAAGCUGUGGCUGUAUACGUAAAGUAUACGGGGUAGGGGAGCGUUCCCAUAGGGUAGAAGUCGAACUGGAAGGUUCGGUGGACUUGUGGGAAGUGAGAAUGUUGGUAUGAGUAGCGAAAAGAAAGGUGAGAAUCCUUUCCACCGAAAGCAUAAGGAUUCCUGAGCAACGAUCGUCGUCUCAGGGUAAGUCGGGACCUAAUCCGAGGCAGAGAGCGUAGGAGAUGGACAACUGGUUGAUAUUCCAGUACCGGUAGUAAUUGUUUGAGCAAUGGAGUGACACAGAAGGGCAGGCAAGCAUGCGAAUGGAAGAGCAUGUGUAAGCGUGUAGGGUGGUGCAUAGGCAAAUCCGUGCACUGAAAGCCUGAGGCGUGAUGCGGAGUGAGCAGAGAUGCGAGCGAAGUUGUUGACCCCACACUGUCGAGAAAAGCUUCUAGUGAGAGAGCUACCGCCCGUACCGUAAACCGACACAGGUAUGCGGGGAGAGAAUCCUAAGGUGCGCGGGAGAACCCUCGUUAAGGAACUCGGCAAAAUGUACCCGUAACUUCGGGAUAAGGGUAGCCACUGUUGUGAAGUCCCAUGCGGAUGGAGCAUAGAGUGGUCGCAGAGAAGAGGCCCAAGCGACUGUUUACCAUAAACACAGGUGCCUGCUAAAGCGAAAGCUGACGUAUAGGUGCUGACACCUGCCCAGUGCCGGAAGGUUAAGGAAGGAUGUUCGGAUUAGUCCAAAGCAUUCGACUGAAGCCCCGGUGAACGGCGGCCGUAACUAUAACGGUCCUAAGGUAGCGAAAUUCCUUGUCGGGUAAGUUCCGACCCGCACGAAAGGUGUAACGAUUUGGGCACUGUCUCAACGAGGGACCCGGUGAAAUUGAAAUACCUGUGAAGAUGCAGGUUACCCGCGACUGGACAGAAAGACCCCAUGGAGCUUUACUGUAACCUGACAUUGGGUUUUGAUACAUUACGUACAGGAUAGGUGGGAGGCAUGGAAAGCUGGACGCUAGUCUGGCUGGAGCCGACGUUGGGAUACCACCCUUGAUGUAUUGAAAUUCUAACCGCGAGAGUAACGAAAUCCGGGACAGUGUCAGGCGGGCAGUUUGACUGGGGCGGUCGCCUCCGAAAGAGUAACGGAGGCGCCCAAAGGUUCCCUCAGCGCGGCCGGAAAUCGCGCGAAGAGUGUAAAGGCAGAAGGGAGCUUGACUGCGAGUCAAACACGACGAGCAGGUACGAAAGUAGGGCUUAGUGAUCCGGUGGUACCGAGUGGAAGGGCCAUCGCUCAACGGAUAAAAGCUACCCUGGGGAUAACAGGCUAAUCUCUCCCAAGAGUCCAUAUCGACGGGGAGGUUUGGCACCUCGAUGUCGGCUCAUCACAUCCUGGGGCUGAAGUCGGUCCCAAGGGUUGGGCUGUUCGCCCAUUAAAGUGGUACGUGAGCUGGGUUCAGAACGUCGUGAGACAGUUCGGUCCCUAUCCAUCGCGGGCGCAAGAGAUUUGAAGGGGGCUGCUCCUAGUACGAGAGGACCGGAGUGGACGAACCGCUGGUGUACCAAUUAUCCCGCCAGGGGUACAGUUGGGUAGCUACGUUCGGAAAGGAUAAACGCUGAAAGCAUCUAAGCGUGAAACCAGCCUUAAGAUGAGAUCUCUCAUAGAGCAAUCUAGU